GAGGAAGAGAAAUUUAAUUCGAAUUUAACUAAAAAUAAAUUAAAGAAUACUAACAGUGAAGGUAUUUUUGAAUAACGGAGAAAAUAUAUGUAAUGUGAAAUAACCGUUGUACUCUAAAAAUUUAAGAUGUUAAAGAACGGUGUUUAAAUAUUAUAUUUAAUAUUCUUCUUCACGUUUGGGCUCGAGACUUUUUAGUCGACCAUUAUAUUUAAUACUCCCCCUUAUGUCUGGGCUCGAGACUUUUUAGUCCGCCCAUGACGUGGGCUUGAAUUAAAUAGGAGAAAAUUAAUAUGUUAGGAGCCUGGCAUGACUCAAACUCAGGACCUCCUGCUCUGAUACCAUGUGAAACAACCGUUGUACUCUAAAAGCUUAAGCUGUUAGAGAACGUUGUUUAAACAUUUUUUAUAUUUAACACUCUCCCUCACGUCUGGGCUCGAGACUUUUUAAUCGGCUCAUGACAUGGGCUUGAAUUAAAUGGGAUGAAAUUAAU
This 490-nucleotide long non-coding RNA is filed under the name Ananas comosus (pineapple). RNAcentral describes it as "long non-coding RNA (ACOM_LNC029645)". The record is from RNAcentral. Lineage: Eukaryota; Viridiplantae; Streptophyta; Magnoliopsida; Poales; Bromeliaceae.